Molecule: long non-coding RNA, 217 nt
Filed under: Carica papaya (papaya)
Lineage: Eukaryota; Viridiplantae; Streptophyta; Magnoliopsida; Brassicales; Caricaceae
Description: long non-coding RNA (CPAP_LNC003895)
Source: RNAcentral
UCGGGAGACCCUAUAACAAACCGUCGGGUCUCUGGUUUUCUGCCUCAACUUAUUGGCAAGUAAGGCAUCGAGAGACAUAGUCGACAAUGUCUUUUUUCAUUACCGACCACCAGUAUUGGCGCUUCAAGUUCCGGUACAUCUUGGUACUUCUAGAGUGGAUGGAUAAUUUGGAGGCAUAAGCAACCUUGAGAACAUCCAUCCUGAUAGUGACAAAGAC